Molecule: long non-coding RNA, 274 nt
Filed under: Lathyrus oleraceus (garden pea)
Lineage: Eukaryota; Viridiplantae; Streptophyta; Magnoliopsida; Fabales; Fabaceae
Description: Pisum sativum (pea) long non-coding RNA (PSAT_LNC002849)
Source: RNAcentral
UUACAAAAAAAAUAAAUAAAUAAAAAUAAUAAUAAAUAAAUAAAUAAAAUAUAAUAGAAAAAACUUGGACUUGGACCUCUCUCAUUUGAGCCCACAAAGCCAUGAAAAUCAGGUUAUAAAAGAGGGAGAUCAGAGAGAAAAAGGAAGAGAAGCAAAAUACUCUGAGGUUUCCUUGAAACAAAACCCUGGACAAAACCUGGAGAGAAACCUGACAGAGAACUCAGAGCAACCCCCAGGCAGCUCUGAAAAAUUCAAUCUGACUCACACACUUUCA